Molecule: ribosomal RNA, 594 nt
Filed under: uncultured bacterium
Lineage: Bacteria
Description: bacterial SSU rRNA
Rfam family: Bacterial small subunit ribosomal RNA (bases 1-517)
Source: RNAcentral
CCUACGGGAGGCAGCAGUGGGGAAUCUUGCGCAAUGGGCGAAAGCCUGACGCAGCCAUGCCGCGUGAAUGAUGAAGGUCUUAGGAUUGUAAAAUUCUUUCACCGGGGACGAUAAUGACGGUACCCGGAGAAGAAGCCCCGGCUAACUUCGUGCCAGCAGCCGCGGUAAUACGAAGGGGGCUAGCGUUGCUCGGAAUUACUGGGCGUAAAGGGAGCGUAGGCGGAUAGUUUAGUCAGAGGUGAAAGCCCAGGGCUCAACCUUGGAAUUGCCUUUGAUACUGGCUAUCUUGAGUAUGGGAGAGGUUAGCGGAACUCCGAGUGUAGAGGUGAAAUUCGUAGAUAUUCGGAAGAACACCAGUGGCGAAGGCGGCUAACUGGCCCAUUACUGACGCUGAGGCUCGAAAGCGUGGGGAGCAAACAGGAUUAGAUACCCUGGUAGUCCACGCCGUAAACGAUGAGUGCUAGUUGUCGGCAUGCAUGCAUGUCGGUGACGCAGCUAACGCAUUAAGCACUCCGCCUGGGGGAGGUACGGUCGCAGAUAAACUACAAGAAGUAGACGCGNGAGACGUGCCGACGACGACGACGAGGGAGUAGG